RNAcentral lists this ribosomal RNA (222 nucleotides) under Klebsiella pneumoniae. Its description in RNAcentral is "partial 16S ribosomal RNA". It matches the Rfam family "Bacterial small subunit ribosomal RNA", at positions 1154 to 1375 of the family's 1533-position model. The record is from RNAcentral. Lineage: Bacteria; Pseudomonadati; Pseudomonadota; Gammaproteobacteria; Enterobacterales; Enterobacteriaceae.
AGUUAUUAACUGGAGUAUGGUGGGGAUGACGUAAUUUCAUCAUGGCCCUUAGGACCAGGGCUAAACAGGUUAUACAAUGCCUUAUACAAAGAGAAGAGACCUCGCGAGAGCAAGCGGACCUCAUAAAGUAUGUCGUAGACCGGAUUGGAGUCAGCAACUCUAAUCCAUGAAGUCGUAAUAUCAAGAAAUCGAAGAUCAUAAAGAAACGGAGAUAAAGGUCCC